CGUGUAGGCGGCCUUUUAAGUCAGGCGUGAAAUCCAUGGGCUUAACCCAUGAAUUGCGUUUGAAACUGGAGGGCUUGAGGAUCGGAGAGGGCAGUGGAAUUCCCAGUGUAGCGGUGAAAUGCGUAGAUAUUGGGAGGAACACCAGUGGCGAAGGCGACUGCCUGGACGACACCUGACGCUGAGGCGCGAAAGCUAGGGGAGCAAACGGGAUUAGAUACCCCGGUAGUCCACGCUGUAAACGAUGAAUACUAGGUGUGGGUAUCGCAGGAUAUCCGUGCCGCAGCUAACGCAAUAAGUAUUCCGCCUGGGGAGUACGGCCGCAAGGUUGAA
Molecule: ribosomal RNA, 330 nt
Filed under: uncultured bacterium
Lineage: Bacteria
Description: bacterial SSU rRNA
Rfam family: Bacterial small subunit ribosomal RNA
Source: RNAcentral